This 440-nucleotide ribosomal RNA is filed under the name fungal sp. RNAcentral's name for it is "SSU rRNA". It matches the Rfam family "Eukaryotic small subunit ribosomal RNA", at positions 634 to 1077 of the family's 1831-position model. Lineage: Eukaryota; Fungi. The record is from RNAcentral.
UUGAAAUUUGGGGACUAAUAUAUCGGUCGUGCCUCGGUACGUACUGGUAUUUUUGGUUCUCCCUUCUGACGAACCUUGAUGUCAUUAAUUUGGUGUCUUGGGGAAAUCAGGACUGUUACUUUGAAAAAAUUAGAGUGUUUAAAGCAGGCUCACGCUUGAAUACAUUAGCAUGGAAUAAUGAAAUAGGACGUUUGAUUCUAUUUUGUGGUUUCUAGGAUCGACGUAAUGAUUAAUAGGGAUAGUUGGGGGCAUUAGUAUUCAAUUGUCAGAGGUGAAAUUCUUGGAUUUAUUGAAGACUAACUACUGCGAAAGCAUUUGCCAAGGAUGUUUUCAUUAAUCAAGAACGAAAGUUAGGGGAUCGAAGACGAUCAGAUACCGUCGUAGUCUUAACCAUAAACUAUGCCGACUAGGGAUCGGAUGAUGUUAAUUUUUAAUGACUC